GUGCUCGCUUCAGCAGCACAUAUACUAAAAUUGGAAUGAUACAGAGAAGAUUAGCAUGGCCCCUGCACAAAUACAUAUCGAAUAUACGAGCACAGCAAGAUUUU
This is a small nuclear RNA of Peromyscus maniculatus bairdii (prairie deer mouse), 104 nucleotides long. The record is from Ensembl. Lineage: Eukaryota; Metazoa; Chordata; Mammalia; Rodentia; Cricetidae.